RNAcentral lists this ribosomal RNA (512 nucleotides) under Vreelandella aquamarina. Its description in RNAcentral is "bacterial SSU rRNA". It matches the Rfam family "Bacterial small subunit ribosomal RNA", at positions 380 to 884 of the family's 1533-position model. The record is from RNAcentral. Lineage: Bacteria; Pseudomonadati; Pseudomonadota; Gammaproteobacteria; Oceanospirillales; Halomonadaceae.
AACCUGAUCCAGCCAUGCCGCGUGUGUGAAGAAGGCCCUCGGGUUGUAAAGCACUUUCAGCGAGGAAGAACGCCUAGCGGUUAAUACCCGCUAGGAAAGACAUCACUCGCAGAAGAAGCACCGGCUAACUCCGUGCCAGCAGCCGCGGUAAUACGGAGGGUGCAAGCGUUAAUCGGAAUUACUGGGCGUAAAGCGCGCGUAGGUGGCUUGAUAAGCCGGUUGUGAAAGCCCCGGGCUCAACCUGGGAACGGCAUCCGGAACUGUCAAGCUAGAGUGCAGGAGAGGAAGGUAGAAUUCCCGGUGUAGCGGUGAAAUGCGUAGAGAUCGGGAGGAAUACCAGUGGCGAAGGCGGCCUUCUGGACUGACACUGACACUGAGGUGCGAAAGCGUGGGUAGCAAACAGGAUUAGAUACCCUGGUAGUCCACGCCGUAAACGAUGUCGACCAGCCGUUGGGUGCCUAGCGCACUUUGUGGCGAAGUUAACGCGAUAAGUCGACCGCCUGGGGAGUACG